RNAcentral lists this unclassified non-coding RNA (1828 nucleotides) under Cimex lectularius (bed bug). RNAcentral describes it as "interferon-related developmental regulator 1, transcript variant X1". Lineage: Eukaryota; Metazoa; Arthropoda; Insecta; Hemiptera; Cimicidae. The record is from RNAcentral.
AUAUUCUGACCUUCUCUCCCACUACAACCUCACAGCUCACCUCUGCUGGCUCCACGGUGUUGCUGGCUUCAACCCAUUCCUUUUCCAAAAUGUUUAAAAUCUGUAAAACCAAAUCUAGUUUAUUUCUCAACUUUUUCUUAGCCUGCAAUAGAACUUGUAUGAUACAAAAUAUAUACUCUUGAUCGAGUGUUUAUUCAAAUCGAAUCGCUUUUACUAGAAACAAAUUGACACCAUGCCCAAGGGAAAGAAAAAAGGAAAGUCAUCAGGACAAAAGGGGCGUAAUGAUUACAUCGUAACAUCUGAUGAAGAUUCGCUCAACGAUAAUGCCAGCAUCAUAAGUCUUGCAUCAGAGGGUACAGUCUUAGAAGAAGGGACAGAAGAAGCCGAAGAACAAAGUCAAAAUGAAAUAUUUGAAGAGAAGCUUAUGAAUGCUAUUGAUGGAUUGACCCAGAAAUCUGCCCAAGCGAGGACUAACUGUUUAGAAUCAGUCGCUACUUUAUUUACCACAAAAUUUAUCCCAGAGUUUGUCAUUAACAGGAAACUUACAUUAACCGAUUCUAUAGAAAGAUGUCUGAAAAAAGGAAAGGGUCUGGAACAGGCUGCAGCAGCUCAGUUGGCAACUUUGCUUUGUGUCCAACUCGGCUCGGGUGACAUGACCGACGAUGUGUGUAAAGCAAUUUCACCACUUUUGACUUUUAUCGUUAAUGACCAUUCGAUGAGCGUCCCAGCAAGGUCUAAGUGUUGUUGGGCUCUGGGUUUACUUUCUUUUCUGGCCAAUACUGAGGAUAUCGGUGACACUAUGCAAACACUUGAAAAUGUCUUUUCCGCUUCCUAUCACAAAGGUGACGGUUCCGUCCCAUCCGUUUCCCAAGACCAUGCCAUUCUGCACAAUGCAGCUCUUUCAUCUUGGAGCCUUUUGUUAACUGUCAUUGAAUUGGACUCUGCAAUUAAUAUCCCGACUAUAAGACAACUUUCAGAACUCUUAGACUCGCCUCAUUUGGAUGUACGAAUGGCUGCGGGGGAAAGCAUAGCUCUCCUUCUCGAACAACAAAGGCAAUCAGCUGAAGAAGAGUGGAUAUGGGAGGAAAAUGAUGAACUUUUAGAAAAAUUGAGACAGUUGGCUACAGAUUCUCAUAAAUAUCGAGCCAAAAAAGACAGAAAGACUCAAAGAUCGAGUUUUCGAGAUAUAUUAAGAUAUGUGGAGUACGAUGAAUUCCCUAACAUACAAGUCAGAUUUGGCCAAGAAGCGCUGGCGCUUGAUUCUUGGUGUAAAAAGAAACAGUACGAUGCUUUUUGCCAGGUUUUGGGCUCAGGGAUGAAUUUACAUUUAACGGAAAACGAUUUGUUGAGAGACGUACUGGAACUUGGUGAGAAGGUUUCCCAUUUGAGCAUGUCUUCAAACAAACAGUCAAAGCUUGCAAGGCAUUUAAUGAAUGCAGCGAAUUUCAAAGCGAGAAGUAUAUCAAGAGCGAAAAAUAGAGACAAAAGCUUUAUCGCAAGAUCGUCAUACUACUAACAAAACAAAUUAUCCAUUGUCAUAGAUGUGCAGAUUUAAAAAUUAUAAACUGAGUUGGAAUUAUACGAACUAAACUAAAAAAUCUGAUUCGCACGAACAAAAACAAAACAAAAUUACUCCUUAAGGCUUGAAGUCUGGAGUGGUGAACUUGGUCAUUUCAAAACAUUCUGGACUGCUUCAACCAAUCAAAAUUAAUGGAAUCAGCAACAUAAUGUUAAUUUUAACCAAAAAGCUGACUUGGUUAAAAAAUAGUUGUUCAAUGUGACAUAAAUUCAUGCGAUGAUUAAAAGUUAAUUAAAACAAAUUUAAUUU